AGCGGGUUUACGACCUCGAUGUUGGAUCAGGGUGUCCCAGUGGUGCAGCCGCUACUAAAGGUUCGUUUGUUCAACGAUUAAAACCCUACGUGAUCUGAGUUCAGACCGGAGUAAUCCAGGUCAGUUUCUAUCUAUAAAGAGCUCUUUCUAGUACGAAAGGACCGAAAAAGCAUGGCCUAUGCUUCAUGUAAGCCAUACGUGAUUAUUUAUGAUUUAAACUUAAUAAACAUUCAAUCUAUUACCCAAACUCUAGACAAGAGUA
RNAcentral lists this ribosomal RNA (262 nucleotides) under Dryophytes walkeri (Walker's treefrog). RNAcentral describes it as "partial 16S ribosomal RNA". It matches the Rfam family "Archaeal large subunit ribosomal RNA", at positions 2580 to 2907 of the family's 2987-position model. Lineage: Eukaryota; Metazoa; Chordata; Amphibia; Anura; Hylidae. The record is from RNAcentral.